CACGCAGUAAACGAUGCAGACUAGGCGUGGGGGGACUUGACCCCCUCCGUGCCGCAGCCAACGCGUGAAGUCUGCCGCCUGGGGAGUACGGCCGCAAGGCUAAAACUCAAAGGAAUUGACGGGGGCCCGCACAAGCGGCGGAGCGUGCGGUUUAAUUCGACGCAACGCGUAGAACCUUACCAGGGUUUGACAUGCACCUGCAGAGCCGUGAAAGCGGUUGGCCUUUGAGGGUGGUGCACAGGUGC
Molecule: ribosomal RNA, 245 nt
Filed under: uncultured bacterium
Lineage: Bacteria
Description: partial 16S ribosomal RNA
Rfam family: Bacterial small subunit ribosomal RNA
Source: RNAcentral